GACGAACGCUGGCGGUGUGCUUCACACAUGCAAGUCGAACGAGGUAGCAAUACCUAGUGGCGGACGGGUGAGUAACGCGUGGGAAUCUGCCUUAAGAUGGGGGAUAACGAGCCGAAAGGCUCGCUAAUACCGCAUAUGCCGAAAGGUGAAAGGAGUAAUCCGUCUUAAGAUGAGCCCGCGUCCGAUUAGCUAGUUGGUAGGGUAAAGGCCUACCAAGGCGACGAUCGGUAGCUGGUCUGAGAGGAUGAUCAGCCACAAUGGGACUGAGACACGGCCCAUACUCCUACGGGAGGCAGCAGUGGGGAAUUUUACGCAAUGGGGGAAACCCUGACGUAGCGACACCGCGUGAGCGAAGAAGCCCCUUGGGGUGUAAAGCUCUGUCAGCUGGAACGAAAAAAAUGACGG
Molecule: ribosomal RNA, 405 nt
Filed under: uncultured organism
Description: bacterial SSU rRNA
Rfam family: Bacterial small subunit ribosomal RNA
Source: RNAcentral